GACGAACGCUGGCGGCGUGCUUAACACAUGCAAGUCGAACGGAAAGGCCCUGCUUUUGUGGGGUGCUCGAGUGGCGAACGGGUGAGUAACACGUGAGUAACCUGCCCUUGACUUUGGGAUAACUACAGGAAACUGGGGCUAAUACCGGAUAGGAGCUCCUGCUGCAUGGUGGGGGUUGGAAAGUUUCGGCGGUUGGGGAUGGACUCGCGGCUUAUCAGCUUGUUGGUGGGGUAGUGGCUUACCAAGGCUUUGAUGGGUAGCCGGCCUGAGAGGGUGACCGGCCACAUUGGGACUGAGAUACGGCCCAGACUCCUACGGGAGGCAGCAGUGGGGAAUAUUGCACAAUGGGCGGAAGCCUGAUGCAGCAACGCCGCGUGCGGGAUGACGGCCUUCGGGUUGUAAACCGCUUUCGCCUGUGACGAAGCGUGAGUGACGGUAAUGGGUAAAGAAGCACCGGCUAACUACGUG
This 468-nucleotide ribosomal RNA is filed under the name uncultured bacterium. RNAcentral describes it as "partial 16S ribosomal RNA". It matches the Rfam family "Bacterial small subunit ribosomal RNA", at positions 28 to 507 of the family's 1533-position model. The record is from RNAcentral.